GACGUAGGGCGCGAGCGUUGUCCGGAUUUAUUGGGCGUAAAGAGCUUGUAGGCGGUUUGUCGCGUCUGCUGUGAAAAUCCGGGGCUCAACUCCGGACUUGCAGUGGGUACGGGCAGGCUAGAGUGUGGUAGGGGAGACUGGAAUUCCUGGUGUAGCGGUGGAAUGCGCAGAUAUCAGGAGGAACACCGAUGGCGAAGGCAGGUCUCUGGGCCACUACUGACGCUGAGAAGCGAAAGCAUGGGGAGCGAACAGG
This 253-nucleotide ribosomal RNA is filed under the name uncultured bacterium. RNAcentral describes it as "partial 16S ribosomal RNA". It matches the Rfam family "Bacterial small subunit ribosomal RNA", at positions 524 to 776 of the family's 1533-position model. The record is from RNAcentral.